AAACGUAGGGUGCAAGCGUUGUCCGGAAUUACUGGGUGUAAAGGGAGCGCAGGCGGACCGGCAAGUUGGAAGUGAAAACCAUGGGCUCAACCCAUGAAUUGCUUUCAAAACUGCUGGCCUUGAGUAGUGCAGAGGUAGGUGGAAUUCCCGGUGUAGCGGUGGAAUGCGUAGAUAUCGGGAGGAACACCAGUGGCGAAGGCGACCUACUGGGCACCAACUGACGCUGAGGCUCGAAAGCAUGGGUAGC
RNAcentral lists this ribosomal RNA (247 nucleotides) under uncultured bacterium. RNAcentral describes it as "partial 16S ribosomal RNA". It matches the Rfam family "Bacterial small subunit ribosomal RNA", at positions 523 to 769 of the family's 1533-position model. The record is from RNAcentral.